GACAACUUGUAAACCCAUGAGGCUUUAACUUAAGUCCUUGAUCAAAACUUCAAGUGGGACCAACGGGAAGAUAAGACCCUGCAGAGCUGAUUUGGAGCUAACUCAGGCUCAACCAAUAUGAGUUGUUGUUUCUGUUGCAUCAAACUGGGGCGGUAAACUAAUUCAUCUAGUUUGUACAUCAAUUGUAUAGCGCCGAAGAUCUUAAACAAGUUAAAGAGUAGUUACCUCAGGGAUAACAGCACAAUGCUUUUAGAGAGGCCUAAUUGAUAAAAGAUCUUGUGACCUCGAUGUUGAAUUAAAGGUGCUGCUUGGUGUAGUAGUUAAGUAAGCUAGUCUGUUCGACUAUUAAACCUUU
This 355-nucleotide ribosomal RNA is filed under the name Cytherissa verrucosa. RNAcentral describes it as "partial 16S ribosomal RNA". It matches the Rfam family "Archaeal large subunit ribosomal RNA", at positions 2088 to 2666 of the family's 2987-position model. Lineage: Eukaryota; Metazoa; Arthropoda; Ostracoda; Podocopida; Cytherideidae. The record is from RNAcentral.